This 101-nucleotide microRNA precursor is filed under the name Macaca nemestrina (pig-tailed macaque). RNAcentral describes it as "miRNA (ENSMNEG00000023473.1)". The record is from RNAcentral. Lineage: Eukaryota; Metazoa; Chordata; Mammalia; Primates; Cercopithecidae.
UGAGGCAGGAGAAUUGCUUGAACCCAGGAGGUGGAGGUUGCAGUGAGCUGAGAUCGUGCCACUGCACUCCAGCCUGGGUGACAGAGCAAGACUCCAUCUCA